RNAcentral lists this transfer RNA (68 nucleotides) under Paragonimus heterotremus. RNAcentral's name for it is "tRNA-Ala". The record is from RNAcentral. Lineage: Eukaryota; Metazoa; Platyhelminthes; Trematoda; Plagiorchiida; Troglotrematidae.
AAUGGCAUAGUUUAAUCUUAGAGAUGGCUGCUCUGCAAGUAGCCGGUGAGGCUGGGCCUCUGCCGUUG